GUAGGUGGCAAGCGUUGUCCGGAAUUAUUGGGCGUAAAGCGCGCGCAGGCGGUUCUUUAAGUCUGAUGUGAAAGCCCACGGCUCAACCGUGGAGGGUCAUUGGAAACUGGAGAACUUGAGUACAGAAGAGGAAAGCGGAAUUCCACGUGUAGCGGUGAAAUGCGUAGAGAUGUGGAGGAACACCAGUGGCGAAGGCGGCUUUCUGGUCUGUAACUGACGCUGAGGCGCGAAAGCGUGGGGAGCAAACAGGGAUUAGAUACCCUGGUAGUCCACGCCGUAAACGAUGAGUGCUAAGUGUUAGGGGGUUUCCGCCCCCUUAGUGCUGCGGCUAACGCAUUAAGCACUCCGCCUGGGGAGUACGGCCGCAAGGCUG
Molecule: ribosomal RNA, 373 nt
Filed under: uncultured organism
Description: partial 16S ribosomal RNA
Rfam family: Bacterial small subunit ribosomal RNA
Source: RNAcentral